This 285-nucleotide long non-coding RNA is filed under the name Fukomys damarensis (Damara mole-rat). RNAcentral's name for it is "lncRNA (ENSFDAG00000029806.1)". The record is from RNAcentral. Lineage: Eukaryota; Metazoa; Chordata; Mammalia; Rodentia; Bathyergidae.
GUGAGCCAAUCUCCAGCUGCCCUAGGACAGAGGAAGUGAGGCGGCACCAGCAGUCGCCUGUGGGUUGAGUCUCAGGGAAUAGACAGUAUGGGGUGAAGUCACUUGCUCAUGGCAUCACCAGAAAGGCUGAGUCCUGGGUGACAGGAAAGGGGAGAUUCCUUCCUCGUGCAGAUCAGCUCACAUUUAUUUUCCCUCCACCUCUGUAUCCCCCUUGACCUGGGUGCCAUGGGUGCAGGCAAAGACACUGACUCUGCCACUGUUCUGCUGGUCACAGACCAUUGGGUG